Molecule: transfer RNA, 58 nt
Filed under: Salmo salar (Atlantic salmon)
Lineage: Eukaryota; Metazoa; Chordata; Actinopteri; Salmoniformes; Salmonidae
Rfam family: tRNA
About the family: Transfer RNA (tRNA) molecules are approximately 80 nucleotides in length. Their secondary structure includes four short double-helical elements and three loops (D, anti-codon, and T loops).
Source: Rfam by way of RNAcentral
UAGCUCAGCUGGUAGAGCAUGGUGUUUGCAACGCCAGGGUUGUGGGUUCGAUUCCCAC